This 253-nucleotide ribosomal RNA is filed under the name uncultured bacterium. Its description in RNAcentral is "partial 16S ribosomal RNA". It matches the Rfam family "Bacterial small subunit ribosomal RNA", at positions 524 to 776 of the family's 1533-position model. The record is from RNAcentral.
UACGUAGGGGGCUAGCGUUGUCCGGAAUUAUUGGGCGUAAAGGGCUCGUAGGCGGUUUGUCGCGUCGGGAGUGAAAACACCGGGCUUAACUCGGUGCUUGCUUUCGAUACGGGCAGACUAGAGGCAUGCAGGGGAGAACGGAAUUCCUGGUGUAGCGGUGAAAUGCGCAGAUAUCAGGAGGAACACCGGUGGCGAAGGCGGUUCUCUGGGCAUGUCCUGACGCUGAGGAGCGAAAGCCAGGGGAGCAAACGGG